CAGAAUGAGACCUUGAGCGUGG
Molecule: microRNA, 22 nt
Filed under: Glycine max (soybean)
Lineage: Eukaryota; Viridiplantae; Streptophyta; Magnoliopsida; Fabales; Fabaceae
Description: gma-miR10421
Source: miRBase by way of RNAcentral